AUCUAUGAAAGUGCUCAUUUGUACCUACUAUUUUCCAGACUAAAAUAAAGGAAGUAAAAUUCUCCUGAGCGGAGAAGAAUGCUUUCUGUAUAGAAGCCAGGUAUCUGGUAAUCAUCGCCUGGACUGCCAUAACACAUGUACCCAAACUGCCUAACUUAAAUACGUUUAUAAAUGACUGGGUUGCCACGUUUUUGCAGUUUCCCCAUUAUUGUAUGUUGAUCAAUUCAGGUAGCUCAUGAGCAUUUGCCUAAAAAUAAAUACCAGAUAUAGUUAGAGGCCAUUUAUAUCCAAACAUCUUUAAGUAAGAUUAAGUUAGGGAGAGUGCUCUGACCUUUAGUAAUAUUGAAAAAUAAGAAGAAAAUAUACCACUAAUAGUUGUGCUGAACUGCUGUGUGGUGAAUAAUAUUCAGCUAUAUUUUGAGUGGAUGCUAUAUAAGAGCUGUUUUUAAAGAGCACUCCCUCCCUCAGAUUAUGUUUCAGCCCUACUUGUACAUUGAGCAUAAAUCAAGUAUGCAGUCUCAAAGAAGAUACUUUAUGCUUCUGAUCUCCACCUGACAUAGCACAUUGGGCAAGUGUCCAGACAUUCUUGUACAGGUAUUCUGCUCAGUUAUACUGGUUAUUUUGCCAAAUGUUUUCUCUCAUCCAUUUUUUUAAAUUCCUGUUCAGAGACUAUACUAUAGUGAUAGUAUAAUAUACCCCAACAGCAUCCUCAAGGAGAGUCAUGGCCCUCGUGUAGCUGUCGAGCAACUGAAAUGUGACUGAUGUGACCAAGUGGCUUGGUGUACUUUUAUUUAAUGUUACAACUGGAAAUUAAAUGUAGAAAGCUGUGCCGCAUUGUUGGAUUGGGGGGGAGUAUAUUGAAAAUACAGAGAUAGCUAAGAUGCUCUUGUGAAAAUUCUUAAAUACAUAUGCAAGCAUACAUAAAGCUACUCUGCCCUUGGAUCCUGAUAGGCCAACUGAUUGACUUUUUCUUUCCUUUUUUUUUUCUUUUUCUUUUAGUAACAUAUGCCUUUUUAUUGGAUAUGUUCUUUAUUUACAUUUCAAAUGGUAUCCCUUUCCUGGUUUCCCUCCCAGAAAGCUCCAAUCCCAUCUCCCCUCCCCCUGAUUCUAUGAGGGUGUUUCCCCACCCCUAAUACCCUGGCUUCAUUUAACAGUUCCCAAUAACCCUUGCCAAGAUAUCAAUGUUUUGGUAAUUCAUAUCCUUUGCAUUUGGAUAUAGUUGUUAAAUAUUAAUUCUAUUUUUUUGGUGGAAUUCUUGACUGAGAAACUAUGUUGCAUUGGUGUGAAACAAAAAUAAACAUUAUUCAUAUGUACUGCAGAUUUUAGUAUAUUUUUAGUUCAUUAUUAUGAGGCAAUUUGAGUGUAUCUAGGUCACUAAGUUCACCUCUUAUGUUCCUUAGAUAUAUGUUAAAUGAAAUGCAUGCUAUAAGAAAUAAAAUUUCCCUUAAAUAUAAGAGAUUUUAUGUAGGAAGGCUACUCUUAAGCAGAUACAAAUGGCUGCUCAUCCUUCUCACCCCCCUUGUCUCUCUAAGGGUACCAUCAGUGCCCAAAUCUAUUGAACCCAUCACAUUCUAUUUUCUUUACUGAUCUAUUUUAAUCUAAAUCUGUAAAUAUUACCCUCCUUCUUGAUUAGCCUUUCUUCUCUACAUUUACUUUCAAGUAAUGUAAUAGUCUGUAACUACUUUUAACCUGUCCCUUUAGACUAUCAAGAAUUCUACAUUUAAGGAUAUAUUGUUUUAGAACAAUGGGUAUUACAAUAAUACAAUUACAAGAAGCAUAUCUAAGAAGAUGAAAGUAAUACAGCACUCUAUUAUGUUAAGAUUUGGCAUUUUUGACACCAGCUUGAUAGUUCAGUGAAUGUCCAUUUGCCUCAAGUGGUUUUUUCCAAAUAAUGAGUUAGUUCUCAUUUUUCGCUACAACAAAUUGAGGCACUAAGUUCAUGUCUGUGGGCUGAAUAACAAAACAGCUGAGGGUCAUAUGAACUCCCCUUAGUUUUCAUUGUCUUCUUUUGUUCGUGUGGUUACAAAUACCUAUUUUAUCCAGUCUUUUUAACAACAUAUCAGUACAUUCUGGGAGGCCCAAUGUACUGACUCUUAAAUAGGAUGUAGUAAAUGCUUUCCUUUGGUUUUAUUUGUAGUUGGCAUAAGUCUUUUUUUUUCUGGGUUUGCUGAGAGAGGUCUGUAAUUUGAGCAUUCAGGAGGCUGAGGCAGGAGACUUGUGAGAACAAAUCAGGUCUGGACUUUCUUAAACUCUCCCUUUCUUGGAUAUCUUAGACUCUCCCUUUCUUAGAUAUAGGAGAGAGAAAAGACAUGAAAGGAAAAUGAGUGAAAGCAAUCACUUGAGAAUAUGCUGUGUACCUUUAUCUUAAACAAUGUCAAAUUUUGGAGUAUCCUCAUAAAACUUUAGUUUCAAAAAAGUUGGACGUUCACAUUAGC
This 2435-nucleotide long non-coding RNA is filed under the name Mus musculus (house mouse). RNAcentral describes it as "long non-coding RNA chr6:15344781-15347216". The record is from RNAcentral. Lineage: Eukaryota; Metazoa; Chordata; Mammalia; Rodentia; Muridae.